This is a long non-coding RNA of Sebastes umbrosus (honeycomb rockfish), 657 nucleotides long. RefSeq lists it as uncharacterized. The record is from RefSeq and is a predicted model, not a curated record. The transcript is spliced from 4 exons. NCBI's taxonomy places the organism in Eukaryota, Metazoa, Chordata, Actinopteri, Perciformes, Sebastidae.
AGCAGCAGCAGCAGCAGGUAGCAGGAUGCUACAAACAUUUAGCUAAUCAACAACAGGUAGCAUGCUAACAGUGUUUAUAAUCACAGAGAUUUCUCUCUAGCUAACAACAAACACUAAACAAAUAGUUUUACUAUGUGUGUGAAGACAAAACGCAGAAGUAAAUUAGAAUAAUUUUGAAGUUAAUUGCCAAUUAAUCCAGAUGACAAACAACACAUCUGCAUCCCAGCAAACAUCUGGAAGAGCACCGAGACGGUUGGACCUCCAGAACGUCUACAGUCCAUCUGGACGUGUGUCAUGUGACCUCUCCACCUGACCGGAGCUGAACGCUGGCCAGACCCCAUCAGGAAGGGAGCAGGUCCCACCCCUGGUUCAGAUGGGUCUUGUGGAGGUUAACUCUUCAGCUGCCGCCCUCUCUUAUUCUCUUUCUUUAUUCCCACCUAAAAUCAACUCGUACCUCCCGCGAGGCCGGCGGUCGGCUCGUGUUUUCACGGACGCCUCUGCCAGACCGUUUGUGGCGCGUAGCCGGUGUUUUCGAGGGAGACCCGACGCCACAAAAUGGGGCAGAGCUGUGUGUUGUGAAAGGACACGAAUCAACCUUUUAUUACUCUGAUGUUUCAUUCACUAACAGAGAGAAAAAACUCAGAGUGGCUCCGUGUU